UGUUAGCGGCGGACGGGUGAGUAACACGUGGGUAACCUGCCUGUAAGACUGGGAUAACUCCGGGAAACCGGGGCUAAUACCGGUGCUUGUUUGAACCGCAUGGUUCAAACAUAAAAGGUGGCUUCGGCUACCACUUACAGAUGGACCCGCGGCGCAUUAGCUAGUUGGUGAGGUAAUGGCUCACCAAGGCAACGAUGCGUAGCCGACCUGAGAGGGUGAUCGGCCACACUGGGACUGAGACACGGCCCAGACUCCUACGGGAGGCAGCAGUAGGGAAUCUUCCGCAAUGGACGAAAGUCUGACGGAGCAACGCCGCGUGAGUGAUGAAGGUUUUCGGAUCGUAAAGCUCUGUUGUUAGGGAAGAACAAGUGCCGUUCGAAUAGGGCGGUACCUUGACGGUACCUAACCAGAAAGCCACGGCUAACUACGUGCCAGCAGCCGCGGUAAUACGUAGGUGGCAAGCGUUGUCCGGAAUUAUUGGGCGUAAAGGGCUCGCAGGCGGUUUCUUAAGUCUGAUGUGAAAGCCCCCGGCUCAACCGGGGAGGGUCAUUGGAAACUGGGGAACUUGAGUGCAGAAGAGGAGAGUGGAAUUCCACGUGUAGCGGUGAAAUGCGUAGAGAUGUGGAGGAACACCAGUGGCGAAGGCGACUCUCUGGUCUGUAACUGACGCUGAGGAGCGAAAGCGUGGGGAGCGAACAGGAUUAGAUACCCUGGUAGUCCACGCCGUAAACGAUGAGUGCUAAGUGUUAGGGGGUUUCCGCCCCUUAGUGCUGCAGCUAACGCAUUAAGCACUCCGCCUGGGGAGUACGGUCGCAAGACUGAAACUCAAAGGAAUUGACGGGGGCCCGCACAAGCGGUGGAGCAUGUGGUUUAAUUCGAAGCAACGCGAAGAACCUUACCAGGUCUUGACAUCCUCUGACAAUCCUAGAGAUAGGACGUCCCCUUCGGGGGCAGAGUGACAGGUGGUGCAUGGUUGUCGUCAGCUCGUGUCGUGAGAUGUUGGGUUAAGUCCCGCAACGAGCGCAACCCUUGAUCUUAGUUGCCAGCAUUCAGUUGGGCACUCUAAGGUGACUGCCGGUGACAAACCGGAGGAAGGUGGGGAUGACGUCAAAUCAUCAUGCCCCUUAUGACCUGGGCUACACACGUGCUACAAUGGACAGAACAAAGGGCAGCGAAACCGCGAGGUUAAGCCAAUCCCACAAAUCUGUUCUCAGUUCGGAUCGCAGUCUGCAACUCGACUGCGUGAAGCUGGAAUCGCUAGUAAUCGCGGUCAGCAUGCCGCGGUGAAUACGUUCCCGGGCCUUGUACACACCGCCCGUCACACCACGAGAGUUUGUAACACCCGAAGUCGGUGAGGUAACCUUUUAGGAGCCAGCCGCCGAAGGUGGGACAG
Molecule: ribosomal RNA, 1393 nt
Filed under: Bacillus sp. (in: firmicutes)
Lineage: Bacteria; Bacillati; Bacillota; Bacilli; Caryophanales; Bacillaceae
Description: bacterial SSU rRNA
Rfam family: Bacterial small subunit ribosomal RNA
Source: RNAcentral